RNAcentral lists this ribosomal RNA (496 nucleotides) under uncultured bacterium. Its description in RNAcentral is "partial 16S ribosomal RNA". It matches the Rfam family "Bacterial small subunit ribosomal RNA", at positions 29 to 507 of the family's 1533-position model. The record is from RNAcentral.
AUGAACGCUGGCGGCGUGCCUAAUACAUGCAAGUCGAGCGAACAGACAAGGAGCUUGCUCCUCUGACGUUAGCGGCGGACGGGUGAGUAACACGUGGAUAACCUACCUAUAAGACUGGGAUAACUUCGGGAAACCGGAGCUAAUACCGGAUAAUAUAUUGAACCGCAUGGUUCAAUAGUGAAAGACGGUUUUGCUGUCACUUAUAGAUGGAUCCGCGCCGCAUUAGCUAGUUGGUAAGGUAACGGCUUACCAAGGCAACGAUGCGUAGCCGACCUGAGAGGGUGAUCGGCCACACUGGAACUGAGACACGGUCCAGACUCCUACGGGAGGCAGCAGUAGGGAAUCUUCCGCAAUGGGCGAAAGCUUGACGGAGCAACGCCGCGUGAGUGAUGAAGGUCUUCGGAUCGUAAAACUCUGUUAUUAGGGAAGAACAAAUGUGUAAGUAACUAUGCACGUCUUGACGGUACCUAAUCAGAAAGCCACGGCUAACUACGUG